RNAcentral lists this long non-coding RNA (886 nucleotides) under Linum usitatissimum (flax). Its description in RNAcentral is "long non-coding RNA (LUSI_LNC004439)". Lineage: Eukaryota; Viridiplantae; Streptophyta; Magnoliopsida; Malpighiales; Linaceae. The record is from RNAcentral.
UCCUCAUGGCUAAGCCAAGCAGCACUAAGGCAAAAAGGCGGAGACAAACGAAUGUGAUUGUUAGGAUUUUUCGAGAAUUGGAGAAUCCAGUCUUCAUUGCUAAUAGCUUUAUCAAGGCCGAAACACAGCGAUCCCCAAUUGUAAGUAAAACACGGACCUAAAAAACCCAUGUCAAACAAGUCACAUGUAUCCAUUUAAGUUUUAAAGUAUUCAGCUUGUGGAACCGAAAAAUCGACACCCCUGUUUGUCCCGAGCAGAGAUAGAAGCAUUGAAAUCUCCCAUUACGAGCCAGGGUCAAUCAACUUCCGGAAAGGCAUCGACUAAACCAUCCUAGAGAGUGAUACAAUCCUGAUGUCUCAGAGUACUGAGGAUGUCCAUCCCAAGCAAUCUGGCAAUGAGCCACUUGCAACGAGUGACGAGGAACGGUAACCUAGACUGUACUGUUAUUCCAGAGAAUCCAAAUGCCGCUAGACCGCCCCAUCGCAUCCACCAUGAAGCUGUCGGAGAAAGGAAGUUUUUGAAUAACAUCAAGCGCACGAUCGUCGCUGAUUUUCGGUUCCAGGACAGCCACAACACUAAGGGGAUAGACCUGGAAAUAAUGUAACAUAACGAUAAUAAAAUUUUGCUGACCGGCAUCCCGACAAUUCCAAGAGAGAAACUAAUCAUUAAGAAAAGAAAGAGGGAAGAACGAAGGAACCCGAGAAAAUUAGAAGGAAAGUAAGGCUGAUGAAACAGCUUCCGUCUUCCCCCCAGAAUCGUAUGUUUCCUCCGAACUCAAGCUUUCUUGUUAUGGCUGAUUCAAAUUGAAAGUAACUUGGCCAUGAAUCCCAGUAGCUUCCACUGGUUUAGCCUUUAAUUUCAUAUUUGCCGCAGCUUUCGAUUUUUU